Molecule: ribosomal RNA, 97 nt
Filed under: uncultured bacterium
Lineage: Bacteria
Description: partial 16S ribosomal RNA
Rfam family: Bacterial small subunit ribosomal RNA
Source: RNAcentral
CACACCGCCCGUCACACCAUGGGAGUGGGUUUCACCCAGAAGCAGCUAGCCUAACCGCAAGGGGGCGGCUACCACGGUGAGAUUCAUGACUGGGGUG